Molecule: long non-coding RNA, 1864 nt
Organism: Epinephelus lanceolatus (giant grouper)
Lineage: Eukaryota; Metazoa; Chordata; Actinopteri; Perciformes; Serranidae
Source: RefSeq, a predicted model, not a curated record
GCCUGGCCCCACAGCCCGAUGUGCACAUGGGGAUCCAAGGGGCUCCUGAUGGCACAUGUGAAACACAACCUUAAAAUAUCACACACACUAAGACGAUGCAAGCACCAACUAACGUCCGUUGAGUGUAUGAAAACAGGGGAAAAGAGACAUGUAGCUUGUGCUAUCCACCGUCCGGCUUGCAGGACAUUUUAUUUGGAUAAAUUGCAGAGGCACAAACAACUCGAGUGUCUUUGCGACCACACGCUCCGCCUCUCAGUCAAUCCAGACAAAUUCUACGACUUGUGCUGAAGCUUUUAAGCUGUAAUUGAGCACAGGAUACCCAGGAAAACCAAAGCCUGCUCUGCACAGACCUGCGUUUUUAUAGCUGCUAUAGUAUUCUGCUGUGCUUUUUUUCCUCUCCGGCCAGACAGACACCACAAAACAGGCCAAGCGUGAUAGGAAGUCGCCACCUACACGGACUCAAAGUCAGCAGCUGAAGACUUUCAACGAGAUGUAAACAUGUCUGUGCACAACUAAGGUGACAGAAAUGUGGGGCCGACAGCGAUGGCGACGACAGAGGGGCCAGGCGGACCACACAGGGGCCAUGCAGGCAAACUGACCAACUCCACGGUCAACGGGAGCACCUCUGACUCACCAGUGGGGACUCACAAUGCUGGAUUAGCCUGUAGAGGGUAUCCUGGGAAACAGGGCGUCAGCAGCAGACGGGCCUGUAUGGACAAAAGGACAUAAAGUGGACUUCAGUGGGGGAAUAAAUGAAAUUAUACAAAGGACAAAAGAUAGAAGGAACAGAAAGACUGAAGGAAAUGUACGUGUAGUCACAGGGUUUCAACUUAUUUUGGAAAAAAGGAACCCACAGUGUGCAGAGAUGGCGACUGUGUCAGAACACCCUCGAUUUAAUUUUGCUAUUGAUAUCUGAACAGAUAUCACAUUCAGAGCAUUACAAACUCAAUUUCCUAUUAAAUACCAGGCGUCAAAUUGCGUGCGCAUGCUAAAAAAUAAAAUAACUGUAAUGAAGAAACUGAUUCAGCUCGCUGAGAAAUAGACCUUGUGUUUUUUAAAGGGUGUUUUUCUCCCUAGGAUGCUUUGAUUAAAAAGAAAAAAGUCUGGAUGUUUGAUUUUACGCAUCUCUGCUGCAUUUGACUUUAGAUGUGAUCUCCCACAGCAAUAUCAAAUUAAAUGUGUAACAGUCGCAGAUGCUGACGUGCCAUUUGCACAAUAUUGAAAUCAAUACGCGACGCUUGUAGUUUAUUUUUGAUGCUGAAUUUUGAAAUUUAUAAGGACAUAGCGUAUCAAAUGUGGAGAAGCAGGUCGUUUUUUUGUAAAUGUGAAAUUCUCGGUGACACAUAGAAUAUAGUUUGCGCCAAAUAGAGCAUUUAGAUCAUAUAUAUUUAAGUCAAGUUUAUUCGAUUAAACGCAAAUGGGAAACUUCGCCGCUCAGUUACGCGCCCCGCUCUUUUAUUUCUACCUUAUGAAAACCACAAUAUUAUUUCACUUUUGUGUUGCAUCUUUUUUGAUAUACCAGAUCAAAUUAGGAUGAACGGAUCUCACUUCUCGGUACCGCAGUGUCAUUCACGGGAAUGAACUGUUCCAAGUUCUUACAAAGGCGGCCAUCAAAUCAUCUUACAAUAACUGUUUCUAUGUAGUGUAGUUAAAACAAAAAUCUGUUUUACUUGGGGAAUUGUGGAUUAAAGUUGUAACUAUCAUAUCAGACUAUUGUCCGGACAGGAUAUGAACAUGAAGCACCUGCAACUGUUCUUAAAACAUUUCCAGAGACGCACAGAUUUCCAGAAUCUGCCAUGACGCUAUUUUUGUAAACAUUUCUCGAUAUGAAAUAAUCAAUAAAACAUGCUUUCUUCUGCAAAUA